RNAcentral lists this long non-coding RNA (2900 nucleotides) under Homo sapiens (human). Its description in RNAcentral is "HSALNT0208941". The record is from RNAcentral. Lineage: Eukaryota; Metazoa; Chordata; Mammalia; Primates; Hominidae.
AUUCUCCUGCUUCAGCCUCCCGAGUAGCUGGGACUAUAGGCCCGGCCACCACAACCAGCUAAUUUUUUUUUUUUUUUUUUUUUUUUUUUUAGUAGAGACGGGGUUUCACCAUGUUAGUCAGGAUGGUCUCUAUCUCCUGACCUCGCGAUCCGCCCGCUUCGGCCUCCCAAAGUGCUGGGAUUACAGGUGUGAGCCACUGUGCCCGGCUGAAAGCCUGAUAUAUCUUUCUACCAUAGCAAGAACUAGCAGCACCUUACCCAGUAUGAGACCGACCCAGGUCUGCCUUAAUAUAUAUACCGUAAUAUAUACCUAACAGUUUUUUUUUUUUUUUUGAGAGGGAGUCUCGCUCUGUCGCCCAGGCUGGAGUGCAGUAUCGCGAUAUCGGUUCGCUGCAAGCUCCGCCUCCCGGGGUCACGUCAUUCUCCUGCCUCAGCUUCCGGAGCAGCUGGGACUGCUGGCGCCCGCCACUACGCUCGGCUAAUUUUUUUGUGUUUUUAGUAGAGACGGGCUUUCACCGUGUUGGCCUAGCGGUUCUCCAACUCCUGACCUCAUGAUCCCCCCGCCUCAGCCUCCCAAAGUGCUGGGAUUACAAGCGUGAGCCACCGCGACCCGCCAACACUCUUGACAACAGUGCUGUGCUAAGAACUUGGGGGACUUCAAAAAGUUCACCAGUUCCUGUGUCCAUGGGUGAAAAGAUUUUCUACAUCUUUCCUUGACUAGAAACAGAAGUCCUGAAACAAGGUACACCUUCUUGAGGCUUACUUGGUGAGUCUAAUUUGUCUUCUGGCACCACUGUGAAUUUGAAGGCUUACGUCUUCUUCCCUGAUCAUAUGUUUUCUACAUGUCAGGAAUAUAACGUCAGGAGGCCAGAGGCUUUGUCCUGCCUAAUGUGUUAUUUCCACACUGAAUAAAAGCACCUGAGUCCUGGCAUAUGGCAAGGGAGUAAAGCCAAACUUUUUACCACAUGGCAAAAAUAAUUGUAUUUUGCAACAGACUAAAAGCUUAAUGCUAUACAGACUUUGGGUUGGUGGAGUUACUUGAGGAUUUACUCCAGCAAAACAAAAAAAAGAAUGAAAGAAAGAGAAAGAUAAAAAUAUGAAAGAAGCAACAGACCUAUUCCAGAAAUGUAAUGAAAAAAGGCCACGAAGUUUGACAACUAUGUAUUAAAUUUACAAUCAGUCCAAAUUAGACUGGUAGUCAGAUUGAUAUGAGAAGUACAUUUUCAAAAAGAUGUACUAUACCAAAUAAUAUGAGUGCAAAACUCUGGAUGAUUUUAGUAAUAAUGUGAAGACACAUAUUUCUUUUGACAAUUAAAAAAAAGAAAAUGAAUUGGAAACUUCAGGAAACGUCAGAAAAUACAAAAUGCUCUGUAGGAAGUAAUUGUCUAAAUGAGAGGUGAAGCCAGUGGGACUUCCUGGAUUGGAUGGGGACUUGGAGAACUUUUCUGUCUAGCUAAAGGAUUGUAAACACACCAAUCAGUGCUCUGUGUCUAGCUAAAGGAUCGCAAAUGCACCAAUCAGCACUCUGUAAAAAUUCUGUGUCUAGCUAAAGGUUUGUAAAUGCACCAAUCAGCAAUCUGUUAGAAUGCACCAAUCAGUGCUCUGUGUCUAGCUAAAGGUUUGUAGAUGCACCAAUCAGCACUCUGUAAAAACGCAUCAAUCAGCGUUCUGUGUCUAGCUAAAGGUUUGUAGACACAUCAAUCAGCACUCAGUAAAAACGCACCAAUCAGCACUCUGUAAAAUGGACCAGUCAGCGCUCUGUAAAAUGGACCAAUCAGCAGGAUGUGGGCGGAGCCAAUAAGGGAAUAAAAGCUGGCCACCAGAGCCAGCCAGUGGCAACCUGCUUGGGUCCCCUUCCACCCUGUGGAAGCUUUAUUCUUUUGCCCUUCACAAUAAAUCUUGCUGCUGCUUACUCUUUGGGUCUACAUUACCUUUAUGAGCUGUAUCGCUCACCAUGAGGGUCUGCGGCUUCACUCCUGAGGUCAGCGAGACCACGAACCCACUGGGAGGAACAAACAACUCCAGAAGCACAACCUUUAAGAGCUGUAACACUCACUGUGAAGGUCUGUGGCUUCACUCCUGAAGUCAGCGAGACCACGAACCCACCAGAAGGAAGAAACUCCGGACACAUCUGAAAUCUGAAGAAACAAACUCUGGACACACCAUCUUUAAGAACUGUAACACUCACUGCGAGGGUCCCCGACUUCAUUCUUAAAGUCAGUGAGACCAAGAACCCACUGGAAGGAACCAAUUCUGGGCACAUAAAUAUGCAGCAAAAUACAAUAUGGUAUGAUUUUGAGCAAUUGAUGAAUAUGUAGAAAAAUUAUUCAAUCCUGAUGUUUGAAAUAUGCUACUUUGAGUAGCAGCCUUGUAGUGACCUAAAUGUAUUUCUGUAGAUAAAAUUGAACUAUGUGGUACUAUAGUGAAUAAUGUGUGUUACAAUAUAAUAGCAUGCACAAUUGUAUAUAUGAAGUUUAGAACACUUCUACAUUUUAAUAUCUGUAAUAUGAUUAUACUCAUAUAUGUGUACUCAGAUUUUAAAACAUAAUAAAAUAUAAAUGUUAUUAUUGUCUUUCUAGGAAGAUGGUGAGGUUUUUUUUUUUUUUUUUUUUUUCAGUCUCACUCCGUCACCCAGACUGGAGUGCGGUGGCAUGAUCUCAGCUCAAUGCAACCUCUGCCUCCUGCGUUCAAGUGAGUCUCAUGCCUCACCCUCCCUAUUAGCUGGGAUUACAGGUGUGUACCACGACACCCGUCUAAUUUUUUGGUAUUUUUAGUAGAGACGGGGUUUCACCAUGUUGGUCAGGCUGGUUUCAAACUCCUGGCCUCAUGUGAUCCAUCCAUCUUGGCCUCCCAAAGUGCUGGGAUUACAGGCAGGGGCCACCGCAUCUGGCCGAUUGUGAG